RNAcentral lists this ribosomal RNA (253 nucleotides) under uncultured bacterium. RNAcentral's name for it is "partial 16S ribosomal RNA". It matches the Rfam family "Bacterial small subunit ribosomal RNA", at positions 524 to 776 of the family's 1533-position model. The record is from RNAcentral.
UACGUAGGGGGCAAGCGUUGUCCGGAUUCAUUGGGCGUAAAGAGCGUGUAGGCGGCCAGGUAGGUCGGUUGUGAAAACUGGAGGCUCAACCUUCAGAGGUCGACCGAAACCAUCUGGCUAGAGUCCGGGAGAGGAGAGUGGAAUUCCUGGUGUAGCGGUGAAAUGCGCAGAUAUCAGGAGGAACACCGGUGGCGAAGGCGGAUCUCUGGGCCUGUUCUGACGCUGAGGCGCGAAAGCUAGGGGAGCAAACGGG